This 491-nucleotide ribosomal RNA is filed under the name uncultured bacterium. Its description in RNAcentral is "partial 16S ribosomal RNA". It matches the Rfam family "Bacterial small subunit ribosomal RNA", at positions 29 to 507 of the family's 1533-position model. The record is from RNAcentral.
GUGAACGCUGGCGGUAGGCCUAACCCCUGCAAGUCGAACGGCAGCACAGUAAGAGCUUGCUCUUACGGGUGGCGAGUGGCGGACGGGUGAGGAAUACAUCGGAAUCUACUUUUUCGUGGGGGACAACGUAGGGAAACUUACGCUAAUACCGCAUACGACCUACGGGUGAAAGCAGGGGAUCUUCGGACCUUGCGCGAUUGAAUGAGCCGAUGUCGGAUUAGCUAGUUGGCGGGGUAAAGGCCCACCAAGGCGACGAUCCGUAGCUGGUCUGAGAGGAUGAUCAGCCACACUGGAACUGAGACACGGUCCAGACUCCUACGGGAGGCAGCAGUGGGGAAUAUUGGACAAUGGGCGCAAGCCUGAUCCAGCCAUACCGCGUGGGUGAAGAAGGCCUUCGGGUUGUAAAGCCCUUUUGUUGGGAAAGAAAAGCAGCAGGUUAAUACCCCGCUGUUCUGACGGUACCCAAAGAAUAAGCACCGGCUAACUUCGUG